ACUUCUUUUAAUUUAUUCAACUCAUUUCUUUUAGCAAUAAAUCUAUCUAUAGGCUAAAUUUUUCAAGAACAUGCUAUGUAGUUAAACUUUUUCAAAAGUUUAUUAAAAAUUAAAAUUAAUAAACUUUGGUGUAAAAGGCACGAAUAUUUAGCUAGUUAAUUAGUUUAUUGGGAUGAAAAAUUAAACAGUUGAGUUCAUUUAUAGAACACCAUAAUUACAAAGAAUUAAUUAAUUUAAAAGAAAGUUACGGGGUUCAUUUUUAUCUAUAUAGAG
Molecule: unclassified non-coding RNA, 273 nt
Filed under: Hevea brasiliensis (rubber tree)
Lineage: Eukaryota; Viridiplantae; Streptophyta; Magnoliopsida; Malpighiales; Euphorbiaceae
Source: RNAcentral